AAAAAAUAUGACAAAUUGUGGUAAUUAUUGACUUUACAUAGAUUUUGUUUAUGUGUAAUUUGAAAAUGUGUAAAGAUAAUCCGACGAGCUUAAAGGACAGAUAAUGCUGUCGAUCUUACUCAGUAAUCCGACGUCUUCUCUGUGGAAAUAAAGUGCGUUUUGCUUUCAAUUGCUCUGUUCGAUUUGCUGCUCUGGGUCAAGGGAUCGUCACGCUUUCUGGAUGAAGAGUGUGCAUUAAUUAAGACUCCAGGAGUUGAAUUCAGUAAAAAAAUAUUUACUAGGAUGUGCAAUGCUUCUGGAAUUUACACGAACGUUGCAAGCUACCAGUACUGGAUUACAUCGAAUACACGGAAUGAAACCAAACAAGAUAACGAAGCUAAUUAUAAUUUGGGGAAUUCUGUUGGUGGAUGGAACAGUCUCUCAUAUGAAGGUUGCUUUGAAGUCCGUUUUGAAGGCUUAAAAAUUCCGAAGGAACCCUGGAGGGUAUAUGAAUCACGGGAGCAUGCUCUUCUCUGGGAGCAUUUGAAACAGACCGAUAUGUCAUAACAGCUGCCAGUGCCUUGAGCAAUCAUUCUCCAUCCAGCUUAAAAUUGAUAGUCAAUAAGCAGACAAUUUUUGUGGAAUCAAUUGUCAGGCAUCCUGAGUUCAAAGCAGUUUCUCAAUCAUUUGUUAACGAUAUAGCUUUGAUCAGACUUACAGAAAGGGUUCUAUUCACAGACCCUAUAGGAGCGCUUUGCUUAGGAUCAAAUUCUGAGCCUCAAAAGGGCUUGAGUCUUGUCGUUAGUACAGGUGGAAUACAUUCUCAGGAGCCCGUACAGCGUAUUGAUCCUUAUGUUUGCGAAAGAUCAAUUGAAAGGAAAGUGGAAAGUCGUCAAUUCUGCACAAAUCGGUCUAAUAAUAACUUAUUCCGAUUGCCAGGAGGCGGAGUGGGUACAAUUGGAAAAAUUGGUGACAAUUAUAUACACUUUACAUCUGCCAUACGUAUUAAGAGCUAUGAUAACGUGAGUGUUUUUACAGAUGUUACCUAUUACCGUCAAUGGAUUCAAAACACUAUUAAAGAAUAAUAAUAA
Drosophila serrata is the source of this 1070-nucleotide long non-coding RNA. The record is from RefSeq and is a predicted model, not a curated record. Lineage: Eukaryota; Metazoa; Arthropoda; Insecta; Diptera; Drosophilidae.